CUUGUUGGUUUUGUUUGUUUGCCGUGUCUUUAAAUUAGGACCACUGAUUGUUAGAACUCUAUGCCGGGCACCGCCUCCUUCACUGUACACCUAACCAGCGGUCGACUGCGCGGUAACAAGUGCAGGUAAUUGCCGCUAUCAUUUUCACUUUUUAAAAGGAACCGUGAACAGACUGUGUGCGUGCUGGACAUCCCUUCGGAUUUGCUAGAGAUCCCCGCUUCUGCGUCCGUUGGGCUACCAGGAUGUUGUCUGUCAGUCGUCAGACAGUGGCCGAGUGAAGCUACGUUGAGCAAGGACUGGGAGUUAGAUUCGUAUGCUCACAGUUCAAUGUUCCUGGCGACUCGCACUCGUGUGUGUGUGUGUGUGUGUGUGUGAAAAGGCCCAGCGUAGGAGUUGCUGUGAUGCGGUGUAGCGGACACUGAUGGACUGACAAGGGGAUCCACUGUGGACUGUUUGCCAUUCUCCAGUAGCCAACACGGACUGUUGUAAAUUGACUUUUCUAGAUGUGUGGUAUGGUAUACCUUAAAAAAAUAUAUAAUACAUAAAUAUAAGAUUGUAAUAAAUAUUAUAUCUUUUUUUAAUA
Molecule: long non-coding RNA, 583 nt
Organism: Clupea harengus (Atlantic herring)
Lineage: Eukaryota; Metazoa; Chordata; Actinopteri; Clupeiformes; Clupeidae
Source: RefSeq, a predicted model, not a curated record